This 445-nucleotide long non-coding RNA is filed under the name Amborella trichopoda. RNAcentral describes it as "long non-coding RNA (ATRI_LNC000045)". Lineage: Eukaryota; Viridiplantae; Streptophyta; Magnoliopsida; Amborellales; Amborellaceae. The record is from RNAcentral.
CCCAAGAAAAUUCACUAUUAGGCCCUUGAAAAAAGACUACUAGAAACUUAUUAGUCCUUAAAACAUCCACAAAAUGAAGAGUUAAGGGGUCUCACAGAACCCAUAAACUCCCAGAAGCCCCUAGAGCAUCAACACCCAAAAAUUUGACUGCACCAUGACCCCACAUAUCCUUAACUAAAGCAAACGAAUGAGCUACAGAGUUUGUUUUUUGCAAAAUAACAACCUCAGGCCUAAACUUCUGAAUUAAAAGCUUAACAUCAUUCCUACAUUUGGGAUCACCCAAACCUCUAACAUUCCAUGAAAGUAUAAACAUUACGGAUUAAAAGUCGAACCUGGCCCCUCCAAGAAGGAAACCCUAUCAGCCUCGUCCAAUAUGAGAACUGCCUCGUUCUGAUCACCAUUCGUUCAGUCACCUCUAAUUUCUACAAUCGCACCUUCAUUAAGC